UACGAAGGGGACUAGCGUUGUUCGGAAUCACUGGGCGUAAAGCGCACGUAGGCGGAUUCGUAAGUUAGAGGUGAAAGCCCGGAGCUUAACUCCGGAACUGCCUUUAAGACUGCAUCGCUAGAAUCGUGGAGAGGUGAGUGGAAUUCCGAGUGUAGAGGUGAAAUUCGUAGAUAUUCGGAAGAACACCAGUGGCGAAGGCGACUCACUGGACACGUAUUGACGCUGAGGUGCGAAAGCGUGGGGAGCAAACAGG
Molecule: ribosomal RNA, 253 nt
Filed under: uncultured bacterium
Lineage: Bacteria
Description: partial 16S ribosomal RNA
Rfam family: Bacterial small subunit ribosomal RNA
Source: RNAcentral